UAGCUUCGUUAAUAAUGAACCUAACAGU
Molecule: small RNA, 28 nt
Filed under: Bombyx mori (domestic silkworm)
Lineage: Eukaryota; Metazoa; Arthropoda; Insecta; Lepidoptera; Bombycidae
Description: ovarian small RNA-22586
Source: RNAcentral